GCGGCGGUGUUGGAAUCGGGUAGACAAUUCGGUCUUAAAAACCGAUGAGCGCCAGCUCGUGCGGGUUCGAAUCCCGCUCGCCGCACCA
This 88-nucleotide transfer RNA is filed under the name Bacillota bacterium. RNAcentral describes it as "tRNA-Leu". It matches the Rfam family "tRNA". Rfam says of the family: Transfer RNA (tRNA) molecules are approximately 80 nucleotides in length. Their secondary structure includes four short double-helical elements and three loops (D, anti-codon, and T loops). Lineage: Bacteria; Bacillati; Bacillota. The record is from RNAcentral.